GUGUGUGAGGAGAGAACGUGACGUUGGGGGAAGGCAGGCUUGGUGGGAUGGUGGGGUGGAGGGCAGCAAGAGCAGGGAGUUGGAUGAAUGGGGCCUUUGGCCUGGCCUGGGAGCCCCAGAGUCCCCACGACACAGUGACAAUUAUGCGGUGGCUCCCCAGGUUGUCAGUACUGGAGACCUAUUUCAUCCCCAAGGAUGGGAGCCUGGCCUCAUACAAGGAGUAUAUUAGCAUGUUGCCCGGCGUGGACCCCCCCGAGACCUUUGGCCAGCACCCUAAUGCAGAUGUGGCCUCCCAGAUCACUGAGGCACAAACUCUCUUUGAGACUCUGCUUUCCCUGCAACCCCAGAUUACACCCACCAGGGCCGGAGACCAGAGCCGGGAAGAGAAGGUAAGGACAGACAGACACCUGGGGGAGGGCAAGCAAUGAGGAAGAGGGGGUCUGCACUCAGAGCUCAGAGCUCCUGCCUCGGCAGGUCCUCGAGUUGGCUGCUGAUGUGAAACAGAAGAUCCCUGAAAUGAUCGACUAUGAAGGGACCCGAAAACUGCUGGCUAUGGACCCCUCCCCACUCAAUGUGGUGCUUCUCCAGGAGAUUCAGAGAUACAACAAGCUUAUGGAGACCAUCCUGCAUAUCCCUCACAAAAGCCAUUGGCUUCAUGGACCCGGGACUUGGCCAUGCGUGUGGAACAGUUUGAGCUGUGGGCCAGCCGCGCACGGCCUCCUGUGAUCUUCUGGCUGUCUGGCUUCACCUUUCCCACCAGCUUCCUCACUGCUGUCCUGCAGUCUUCAGCUCGCCAAAACAAUAUUUCAGUGGACAGCCUCUCUUGGGAGUUUAUUGUUUCCACUGUGGAC
Non-coding RNA from Kogia breviceps (pygmy sperm whale), 851 nucleotides. NCBI's taxonomy places the organism in Eukaryota, Metazoa, Chordata, Mammalia, Artiodactyla, Physeteridae. The record is from RefSeq and is a predicted model, not a curated record.